Molecule: long non-coding RNA, 2048 nt
Organism: Peromyscus leucopus (white-footed mouse)
Lineage: Eukaryota; Metazoa; Chordata; Mammalia; Rodentia; Cricetidae
Exons: 2
Source: RefSeq, a predicted model, not a curated record
GAAGGAAGGAAGGAAGGAAGGAAGGAAGGAAGGAAGGAAGGAAGGAAGGAAGGAAGGAAGGAAGGAAGGACCUAAGACCCAAGCUCUGACACCUGUCACCUCUGCUUAGCAGAAGUCAGAUCAUGGCCCCACAGCAUGUUAAAAAAGACUCUUAAUGACAGAAUAGCACUUCUCUCCCUACUCAGGAAACAAAUACCCUGAUGAAGCGAGGUGGCUCAGUGCUUGGCUUUCUGUUUGGACAAGUGGCAUUCCUUUGAAACAGACGCUGUUUGCUGGCUGUCUCUGCAUGUUUGGGCUUGGGUGAGGGGCUAAGUUGUGUUUCUGAAGCCCUCGGGUUGUGAAUAAAGAUGGACAGGCCAAUGCCAGUCUCUAUGGGAAAGGCAAUUAGUAAAUCCACUGAUUAUAAUCUAUAGGUCUUUUGGUGCCAACUAAAUGGAAGUGCUUGGCUAAAAUGCAGUCUCGUUACUGAGAUGCAUAGUCCCUUUAGUCAGAGACAAUAUGUUCAAGUCUCCUAGGUCAAGGUGCAUGGCCUGUAUUUACAAACCCAAGCAAGAAAGUAGAACAGAUCAGCCUCUGUCGAAUUCUUAGCUAACGGCCCUCCUUUGCAAACCAUCAUCUGCCAGGACUUUAAUGGAUUUGCUAAGAGUUAUACCCUAACCAGGACAUUGGUCCUAGUCUGGUCUUUAACUGACUGUGGGUGUGUGGGGGCUUCCGUGGUCUCUGUGAUUGUGACAUCUCUGUGUUCUGUCACAUCUUGUCUAUGCCAGAUGUUUGGGCCAAGGGGACACAGGAGCACAAUACAGCUCCCCCACAACACCCCCACUAAGGACAAACAUUCAGGAAUGUCUGAGAUCUACUCCUUGGGCUAUUCCAUUUCAUGGCUUUAAUUCUGAUGCCCACCCCCAUACACUGCAUGGUGAGAGAGAAAUAACCCCAGUCUCUAAGUGAUGCAGUAUCCAGAAGAGAUCAUGAACAGAAAAAAACUUACUGUUUUGUUGGUGGCAUAAGACAAUCAAAGACACUCAGAGGGAGGAGAGGCUAUGUCUAAGACACAGGAUUUGCCAAGUGACAUUGGACAGAAGCCUUGAAGAACCAUGAGAGAGAAGGGUGGAGGAUGAGAGUGGGCAGAUUCAGACGAUGGCAAGCAUGGAGCUUGUCAGGAAUGGCUAGAGCCAUCGUCCUGUGAACUGGAAGAUAUGCCAGGAUGGAGGAGCCAUGAGUUGUUAUAUGGUCUGUGGGGGCAGCUGCCUCUGCAGUUGGGUUGGAUGUCAGCAGAGGUCAGAAGAGCAAUCCAAAGACAAGGAGGGACCUUGAUUCUAAACGUUACCUGGAGGUGGCUUGUAAUGUGAGUAGGUAGGAAAAGAGGGUCACAGAUAGAGAAGUCACUUGCAAAGCUGUUCUGGUCAUCUUGGAAGGAGCAAGUAAACUUGGUCACAGUGUAUGAUGGGAUGGGGACAGGGCGGGGAGUGCUGGCUCUGUGCUCAUUUCAGUCUUUACUUAAAAGCUAAGUAGUUUGGGAAGAAGCCAGCUUUAGUAGAAGUUGGUGUUAUUGACCAAGAACUGAACAGGUACCAACCGAUGCUGCCAAGGACAGGAUUCCCAAACAGAAUGGCUCAGUUUUGCUCUGAAAUGCCUGAAAGGUCGUGAAAAGCAUAGCUUUGAGGGGUGCCAGCUUCCUAGCUCACCAGCCAGGAUGACAAAGGCCGCCAGGCAUCUUCCCAAAUUGGCCCGACCCUGUGCCUGUCUGCUUUUUCUUUUCAAACACGAGACUCUCGGGAUUGCUCACCAACAUUUCUGUCGCACUGGAGUUCCCAUAGGGUAUGUUUUUCUCCCUUCACACAACUUCCAAGAACUGUCUAGAGUGACAUCUGGGUAAAGGAAGGAAGGAAGUGAGGGCCACACGUCAAAGACAUGUGAGCUGCACACACGUGGGAACGAUGAGGCAGCUCUGGGGUCCUUCCUCCAACACUAUUUCUUUGCCUGAGGCUGGUCUUAGUGCUACGGAAGGCUGUAGGAAGUUUUCUUCUCCCUGUCAGCCACGAUCCUGG